UACAGAGGUGGCACGCGUUGUUCGGAAUUACUGGGCGUAAAGGGCGCGUAGGCGGCCUUCUAAGUCAGACGUGAAAUCCCCCGGCUUAACCUGGGAACUGCGUCUGAUACUGGAUGGCUUGAGUAUGGGAGAGGGAUGUAGAAUUCCAGGUGUAGCGGUGAAAUGCGUAGAUAUCUGGAGGAACACCGAUGGCGAAGGCAAUCCCCUGGGCCUGCACUGACGCUCAUGCACGAAAGCGUGGGGAGCAAACAGG
This 253-nucleotide ribosomal RNA is filed under the name uncultured bacterium. Its description in RNAcentral is "partial 16S ribosomal RNA". It matches the Rfam family "Bacterial small subunit ribosomal RNA", at positions 524 to 776 of the family's 1533-position model. The record is from RNAcentral.